This 253-nucleotide ribosomal RNA is filed under the name uncultured bacterium. RNAcentral's name for it is "partial 16S ribosomal RNA". It matches the Rfam family "Bacterial small subunit ribosomal RNA", at positions 524 to 776 of the family's 1533-position model. The record is from RNAcentral.
UACGGAGGGUGCAAGCGUUAAUCGGAUUUAUUGGGCGUAAAGGGCGCGUAGGCGGGAAAAUAAGUUGGAUGUGAAAUCCCGGGGCUCAACCCCGGAACGGCAUCCAAUACUAUUUUUCUAGAGGAUGAGCGGAGAAAAGGGAAUUCCACAUGUAGCGGUGAAAUGCGUAGAUAUGUGGAAGAACACCAGUGGCGAAGGCGCUUUUCUAGCUUAUUCCUGACGCUGAGGCGCGAAAGCAAGGGGAGCAAACAGG